This 309-nucleotide unclassified non-coding RNA is filed under the name plant metagenome. RNAcentral's name for it is "partial contains 5.8S ribosomal RNA, internal transcribed spacer 2, and large subunit ribosomal RNA". The stretch from base 1 to 105 matches the Rfam family "5.8S ribosomal RNA", at positions 50 to 154 of the family's 154-position model. The record is from RNAcentral.
GAAAUGCGAUAAGUAGUGUGAAUUGCAGAAUUCAGUGAAUCAUCGAAUCUUUGAACGCACAUUGCGCCCCUUGGUAUUCCAUGGGGCAUGCCUGUUCGAGCGUCAUUUGUACCCUCAAGCUCUGCUUGGUGUUGGGUGUUCGUCCCGUCUCCGCGCGUGGACUCGCCCCAAAGUGAUUGGCAGCCGGCGUACUGGUCCCGGAGCGCAGCACAUGUCGCGCAAACGAGUGCCUUGGUACGGCGGCGUCCAUAAGCCCCUCUCUCACGCUCUUGACCUCGGAUCAGGUAGGGAUACCCGCUGAACUUAAGC